RNAcentral lists this ribosomal RNA (486 nucleotides) under uncultured bacterium. RNAcentral's name for it is "partial 16S ribosomal RNA". It matches the Rfam family "Bacterial small subunit ribosomal RNA", at positions 30 to 507 of the family's 1533-position model. The record is from RNAcentral.
AUUGAACGCUGGCGACAUGCCUUACACAUGCAAGUCGAACGGCAGCACGGGUGCUUGCACCUGGUGGCGAGUGGCGAACGGGUGAGUAAUACAUCGGAACAUGUCCUGUAGUGGGGGAUAGCCCGGCGAAAGCCGGAUUAAUACCGCAUACGAUCUACGGAUGAAAGCGGGGGACCUUCGGGCCUCGCGCUAUAGGGUUGGCCGAUGGCUGAUUAGCUAGUUGGUGGGGUAAAGGCCUACCAAGGCGACGAUCAGUAGCUGGUCUGAGAGGACGACCAGCCACACUGGGACUGAGACACGGCCCAGACUCCUACGGGAGGCAGCAGUGGGGAAUUUUGGACAAUGGGCGGAAGCCUGAUCCAGCAAUGCCGCGUGUGUGAAGAAGGCCUUCGGGUUGUAAAGCACUUUUGUCCGGAAAGAAAUCCUUGGCCCUAAUACGGUCGGGGGAUGACGGUACCGGAAGAAUAAGCACCGGCUAACUACGUG